This is a long non-coding RNA of Pseudoliparis swirei, 219 nucleotides long. RefSeq lists it as uncharacterized. The record is from RefSeq and is a predicted model, not a curated record. NCBI's taxonomy places the organism in Eukaryota, Metazoa, Chordata, Actinopteri, Perciformes, Liparidae. The transcript has 3 exons.
CAAGAAAGUGAAGAGAGUAGAGAGAAAUUCAAGAAAGUGAAGAGAGAAGAGAGAAACUUUUCGGUGGUUUUUGAUGUCCUUAUACCAAGGUGUGGCUGAGCUCAUGGACCAAAGUCAUGUGGAAAUGAGUUGCUGAAAAAAGCAGAUGUAUUGGAGAAAGUCCAAGAAGCUACCACACAACAGCCUGGUCAGUAUUCUUCAAAGUGUCAAGCAAACUUA